CUUUCCAUUGAUUUACUACUCUAGUCUUUUAGUGAUAUGAGCAGUUAUACACAUGGGAGAGAACAAUAUUAGGCUGUUGUAAAUGAAGAUGGAAUAACCAUUUCAUCUCUUCUACAAAGUCCAGGUAUUG
Mustela putorius furo (domestic ferret) is the source of this 130-nucleotide small nucleolar RNA. NCBI's taxonomy places the organism in Eukaryota, Metazoa, Chordata, Mammalia, Carnivora, Mustelidae. The record is from Ensembl.